RNAcentral lists this small nuclear RNA (293 nucleotides) under Ochotona princeps (American pika). Its description in RNAcentral is "7SK RNA (ENSOPRG00000020455.1)". It matches the Rfam family "7SK RNA". Rfam says of the family: 7SK was discovered as an abundant small nuclear RNA in the mid-70s but a possible function has only recently been suggested. Two independent studies have found that 7SK RNA binds the CDK9/cyclin T complex (known as elongation factor P-TEFb). P-TEFb activates transcription by phosphorylating the C-terminal domain of RNA polymerase II. The record is from RNAcentral. Lineage: Eukaryota; Metazoa; Chordata; Mammalia; Lagomorpha; Ochotonidae.
AGAUGUGAGGGUGAUCUGGCUGCGACAUCUGUCACCCCAUUGAUCGCCAGGGUUGAUUCGGCUGAUGUGGCUGGCUAGGCGGGUGUCCCCUUCCUCCCUCACCGCUCCAUGUGCGCCCCUCCCAAAGCUGCGGCUUGGUUGAAGAGGACGACCAUUCCCCGCUAGAGGAGGGACCAGUUUGCAGUCAAGGGUUAUACGGGGUAGCUGCGCUCCCAUGCUAGAACCUCCAAACAAGCUCUCAAGAAAGAAGGGGUGCUAGGGACUACCUUUUCAUCAACUGGAUUGACUUCUGU